This 540-nucleotide ribosomal RNA is filed under the name uncultured bacterium. RNAcentral describes it as "bacterial SSU rRNA". It matches the Rfam family "Bacterial small subunit ribosomal RNA", at positions 355 to 896 of the family's 1533-position model. The record is from RNAcentral.
UGAGGAAUAUUGGUCAAUGGACGUAAGUCUGAACCAGCCAAGUAGCGUGCAGGAUGACGGCCCUAUGGGUUGUAAACUGCUUUUGUAUGGGGAUAAAGUUAGGGACGUGUCCCUAUUUGCAGGUACCAUACGAAUAAGGACCGGCUAAUUCCGUGCCAGCAGCCGCGGUAAUACGGAAGGUUCGGGCGUUAUCCGGAUUUAUUGGGUUUAAAGGGAGCGUAGGCCGGAGAUUAAGUGUGUUGUGAAAUGUAGACGCUCAACGUCUGACUUGCAGCGCAUACUGGUUUUCUUGAGUACGCACAACGUUGGCGGAAUUCGUCGUGUAGCGGUGAAAUGCUUAGAUAUGACGAAGAACUCCGAUUGCGAAGGCAGCUGACGGGAGCGCAACUGACGCUGAAGCUCGAAGGUGCGGGUAUCGAACAGGAUUAGAUACCCUGGUAGUCCGCACAGUAAACGAUGGAUGCCCGCUGUUGGUACCUGGUAUCAGCGGCUAAGCGAAAGCAUUAAGCAUCCCACCUGGGGAGUACGCCGGCAACGGUG